Molecule: small nucleolar RNA, 209 nt
Organism: Nannospalax galili (Upper Galilee mountains blind mole rat)
Lineage: Eukaryota; Metazoa; Chordata; Mammalia; Rodentia; Spalacidae
Gene: U3
Rfam family: Small nucleolar RNA U3
About the family: Small nucleolar RNAs (snoRNAs) are involved in the processing and modification of rRNA in the nucleolus. There are two main classes of snoRNAs: the box C/D class, and the box H/ACA class.
Source: Ensembl
AAGACUAUACUUUUAGGAAUCAUUUCUAUAGUUCAUUACUAGAGAAGUUUCUCUGACUGUGUACAGUACCAGAAACCAGGAGGAAGAGACAUAGCAUUCUCUCCUGAACAUAAGACUGGCUCUUGGUAGUUUUGCUGCAACUGCCACUUACCGUUAAUGGUCGUUUUCUCUUUCAGGAGAGUGGAGGGAGAGAAUGCAGUCUGAGUGGA